UGCUGACAUAAGUAACGAUAAAGCGGGUGAAAAGCCCGCUCGCCGGAAGACCAAGGGUUCCUGUCCAACGUUAAUCGGGGCAGGGUGAGUCGACCCCUAAGGCGAGGCCGAAAGGCGUAGUCGAUGGGAAACGGGUUAAUAUUCCCGUACUUGGUGUUACUGCGAAGGGGGGACGGAGAAGGCUAUGUUGGCCGGGCGACGGUUGUCCCGGUUUAAGCGUGUAGGUGUGUGUUCCAGGUAAAUCCGGUUCACUUUAACACUGAGGCGUGAUGACGAGGCACUACGGUGCUGAAGCAACAAAUGCCCUGCUUCCAGGAAAAGCCUCUAAGCAUCAGGUAACAUCAAAUCGUACCCCAAACCGACACAGGUGGUCAGGUAGAGAAUACCAAGGCGCUUGAGAGAACUCGGGUGAAGGAACUAGGCAAAAUGGUGCCGUAACU
RNAcentral lists this ribosomal RNA (440 nucleotides) under Salmonella enterica subsp. enterica serovar Schwarzengrund. RNAcentral's name for it is "partial 23S ribosomal RNA". It matches the Rfam family "Bacterial large subunit ribosomal RNA", at positions 1295 to 1735 of the family's 2925-position model. Lineage: Bacteria; Pseudomonadati; Pseudomonadota; Gammaproteobacteria; Enterobacterales; Enterobacteriaceae. The record is from RNAcentral.